RNAcentral lists this non-coding RNA (187 nucleotides) under Clostridia bacterium. RNAcentral describes it as "6S RNA". It matches the Rfam family "6S / SsrS RNA". Rfam says of the family: E. coli 6S RNA was the first non coding RNA to be sequenced, but its function was unknown until recently. It consists of 184 nucleotides that fold into an extended hairpin structure with a large single-stranded internal bulge. The record is from RNAcentral. Lineage: Bacteria; Bacillati; Bacillota; Clostridia.
GGUUACCUGAAGUGUGCGCCAGUAUCCCAUUUUUACCCACAUUUCACAAAACGGAGCUCGCGUUCGACCAUUGGAUGCCAUGCCCCCGCGUUACUGUGUCAGGGGAAGGCAGAAGGUGGCGGUAGAGCACCGGCCUGCUUUACAUAGCGGGUGAAAAAAUGGGGUGCAGCGGCACUUUGGGGCUUGA